This 315-nucleotide ribosomal RNA is filed under the name Triticum aestivum (bread wheat). Its description in RNAcentral is "partial small subunit ribosomal RNA". The record is from RNAcentral. Lineage: Eukaryota; Viridiplantae; Streptophyta; Magnoliopsida; Poales; Poaceae.
AUGCGCAUCCUUGGGCAACAGCACCAAAAUGGUCAUCCUUGGUUAUGCCUUGGAGACUAUAAUGAGAUCCUAACAGGGGACGAAAAGAUGGGGGGUGAUGUCCGCCCUCAAAGGUUUAUGGACAACUUUCUGGCAGCUUUGGAGGCGUGUGAUUUAUGCGACAUUGGAUAUGAAGGAGACAAAUACACUUGGAGAAAUCACAGCAAGGAGGAACGCCUGGACAGAGCCACGGCCAAUGCAAAAUGGUGCGAAUGGUUCCCGGAAUUCAGUGUGAUCAACGGAGCUCCUCGCCACUCAGACCACAAACCGAUAAUC